UGUUGCAACAAGAGAGGAAAUAAUACUUCUGUUGGUUUUUUUCACAGGUGAUAUGCAGGUCUCCACUGGGGCACUUUUCUAAGGAGUUUUCAAGGUUAACGCUGACUGUGUGUCACACACCGCCUUCAAGCCCAAUCCCAUGCAAGAGGUGCCUCUUUUGUACAGGAAGAGUUGAUGGAGGACAGGAUGAAUCUCAUCACCCUUGGCUUCUGGUUUCUGGCUAUGACCUAGUCACUUCCUAUGGGAACCUGCUUCUGAUCCUCAGCAGAGACUGGAGGACCUUUCACCUCUGCAUCCUUCAUUAUCCACAUGCAUUUCUGUAUCCAGAGCUGGAGGCAUUUGCGAUGACUCUCCAAGGUCACCAGGAUGUGGCCUGGAAAGGCCAGCAGGAGUGGAGUCAAAGGAAGGAAUACACAAGUAACAAAGGGAGAAAUUACAACAGUGAGAAUUUCACUAAGGAAUCUAGCCCAUGUCAUCAUGUUUACAGACAGCCCUGGAUUCAACUUGGGACUGGGGCUUAGGGAACCUGGCACCUUUAUUAGCUGGGUAACCUGGGAUGAGUCUAACCUUCAUGAUUUGUCUUCUCAUCUGUCAAAUUGGGCUAAAGAUCUCAGUCUACCCCAGGAGUCUACUGUCAGGGUCAAAUAAAACGAAAGAAUGUGUAUAAAAACAUCAAAA
Homo sapiens (human) is the source of this 678-nucleotide long non-coding RNA. RefSeq lists it as uncharacterized. The transcript is spliced from 3 exons. The record is from RefSeq and is a predicted model, not a curated record. NCBI's taxonomy places the organism in Eukaryota, Metazoa, Chordata, Mammalia, Primates, Hominidae.